UCUGACCUCGGCAAAUACACGUUUAAUACCGCCGUGAACCGAAGUCUGCCGCUCAGAUUCCCGCUGCUUUGCUAUGCCCUUAGACUGCUCGCGCCUGCAGGUAAAAACCGCGUUCGUUCAGAUGCUGGCUUUGAGGGCUGUGCUUUCAAAUAGGAGCGCUGAGAUCUACCCCCGUUGUCUCCGAAAUGUUUCGUCCAGCAACAAUGUAUAGGGAUCAAAUCUACUGUAACGGGCAGUGCUUGAGGAUUUCUCAGCUUCCGGCAUGAUUUACUGGGUGACUUCUUUCUGUUGCAACCAAAGCAACCAAUAGCAUAAAUAAGACUUCCUGUACAACCACCAGCAAGCUGACCAGUCAGGCUUUGUUCAGUUUCCACAUCUGUAAAAUCAGCUCAAAACAUGAAGGAGAUUCUGAGUUUUAUUUAAAAAUAAAAUUGUUGCAGUCAUCUUUUUUGCAAGGAGAGCCUAGGACCUACGGAUAUAGCAGAAGAACACAAGUGGCUGUACCCCAUGCCAGCCUAUCAGGAGGUUUUAAGUGAGAAAAGAAAACUCCCUUCACGCAGUGCAGUGUUUUACUAGUUGAAUCACCCUUCAUGUUCUCAACAGUCGGGGCCCAGCUGUGUUCCAGACCAAAUAAUGACAAGAAAAGUCAGAUGAGCUAAUAGGAGCUGGGAAGGGAGACCAAGACUUGUCCAGAUUAACGAAAGGAUUCAAACCUAUGUCAUCUCAGUCUUAAUGCAGCAUCCCAGUGAUAUAUGCUUAUUUAGCAGUUUACAUCUGGUGCCUAAUCCAAAGUGUAAGCUCAUCUCAUUGCCCCUCCUUGCAUUCCUACGCUAGCUUCGUGCUUUGUGUGACAGCAGUAAGCGUUCAGUGGGUGGGGAACAUGAACUUCACAGCUCCGUGCAAGUCUGUUAAUGCCAGCGCUAAUAGCACUGACAGAAAUAAAUCCAGCCUCUGCACUGAAGAAAACAGUGGAGCUCUUUACAGGACUUUUCAAUCAGUUGGUCAGAGCAGCUCGGGAUGUACCUGGUGUUUUCAAAGGAAAAGCUCAUCACCAGAGAGGCCUGAACUUCCCCCACUGUGCUUCUGGUAAGCAUUAGGCAAGCUAAUAGCUAUGCAAUGAGCAGACAUUACCACAUAAAAAGAAGUGUCACCGUAAAACUAUCCACCUUUAGAAUAAGGUUGGCUCCCAUCAAGUAAAUCGACAGAUUCUGAGAUCAGAAAGGGCUGUUGUGUUCCUCUCUUGCUUUAUUGGCCAGAAAUCUCCAGCCAGUAAUUCCUGCCUCACGUUGUUCCUUUCGGCAGGGUAAAGAGUAUCUCUGAAGAAACGCUAAUUCUCAUUUAGCGAUGGGCGAUCCAUGGCAUCAGUAAAGACAGACAAGGUGCUUUCGUGUAUAUAUAGAUUUUAAAAAAUGUAAUGAAUCAGGACAGGAGAAAAUAAACAUGCGCCAACAUAUGCCGCACCUUUACAUGCAUCCACAUUGCCCAUUCUCAACUAAUUUCUACAUGGUUUAUUGUACAAGAAGCAAAGACUCACUGUCCCUUCACUGUGAGAAGAACACAGUUAUUACUACCUCUACAGAGUACUCGAAAGUCAUGAGUGCUGAAGUAGAAAGCUUUUUGGCAUAGCGUGGGGAAGUUGUAACUUACCAGGAACACCCAAAGACUACGUGCUUCCUCAGUACUCACAUACUAUGAACCAGCUCAGUGUAUUUUAUGCUAAGAAUAGUAGGAUGCUGCUCUGUGCACACCUUGUGAAAUGCAGCAGCAAUUUGGAAUGAUGCUCCCAUUAUACUGUGAUUUCAUGAUUUUUUUCAGUAUUUAAAGGAAAGAAAUGUCAGUUUGUGCCAACUGCUGAAGAGAAGAGCACAAAAAAGCCUGCAUCCAGGGAAAAGAGAAAUAUACUGCUUGGCUGUUUUUGCAGGAGAAAUGACGUUUAGAAAAUCUUUCCAAAUGUAAACACAAUCAGAAAGACAAUAAAAACAGAUUCUAUUACAUGUGGAGAUGGUCCCAUAUAUAGAGAGCAAAUUUACACUUUAUGCACCUAUUAAAAUACAACAAGAUUUGAAAUUGCUUUUUAAGUAAAUGGAUAUUGCACUUGAGCCCAGCAAUCCGACACCAGUCAAAAAUGUGGUUAUGGGAAGGAGGGGGAGUGCACGUGUGUGUUCUGGAAACCCCAGCUCAAAUCCGAACUGGACCUCUUACACAGCUAAUGACCUAACUGCUAUGAUGUUUGCUAGAAUAGCAGUUUCCUGUGGAAGAGGCAUUCCCGUUAAGGAGAGCCCCACCCAAGGGUGUGAUCAGGUAGUAAAAAUAAUUUAACACCUAGGAGUUUUACUUUUGUGUGUGUGACUGCAAGGCCAUUGCAGUCUCACAGUCUUGGUGGCUUCAGGCCAUAAUAAACUCAUGAGCUCCUCUAAUUUUUCUAAAUAUGCACCAGCACCUGGUGAAUCAGGCAAGUUUCCUGGGGAUUACAGACCACUUCUCUCCAAAUCCUCCUCGGUAAUCGACAGCUUCCAGAACCUCUGGAAAUCUUCCAAAAGCCAGUGUAUCUAGGAAUCCUGCCAGGACCAGCCUCCACAGCACACAGCUGUAGACCUGACAAAAAGCAAGUGGGAGUAGCCCACUCAGAUGCAAAGGUGACAGUUAGCAGCUGCAGCAUCUCAGAGGUGUCUUAAUGCCCGGCUUGGUGAGCAAAGCACAAGGGUGGGGGUAUGGCUUAUUUGGGGCGCGCACACCACAUAUAGGUAAUUCCAGUAUUUGCUAAGGGCACAAAGUCACCUGUUAUUCUUUUAGCUCAGAUUUCUUGGCUGUUGCACCUUAUUUAUUUGCAUCUCCAGUUUUCAAUCUGCUUAAAAAAACCAAAACAAAACACAAAAACAAAAUUCAAGCAUUACAAUAGUAGCUCUAGAGUCCAAUGAGACUUAGAAAAAAAAAACAAUCUCAAUUUUGUGCUGUCUUUUCACACUUAAGCUUUUAGGAUUUACGCUUUCAAGCUGUCAGUCACCCUAGGAGCUGGAGACUACAUCUCCCAGUGGCAGCUUUAGAAAAA
Molecule: long non-coding RNA, 3049 nt
Organism: Struthio camelus australis
Lineage: Eukaryota; Metazoa; Chordata; Aves; Struthioniformes; Struthionidae
Source: RefSeq, a predicted model, not a curated record